This 305-nucleotide ribosomal RNA is filed under the name uncultured bacterium. RNAcentral describes it as "bacterial SSU rRNA". It matches the Rfam family "Bacterial small subunit ribosomal RNA", at positions 338 to 659 of the family's 1533-position model. The record is from RNAcentral.
CCUACGGGAGGCAGCAGUCGGGAAUAUUGCACAAUGGAGGAAACUCUGAUGCAGUGACACCGCGUAUAGGAAGAAGGUUUUCGGAUUGUAAACUAUUUUAGACAGGGAAGAAAAAAGACAGUACCUGUAGAAUAAGCUCCGGCUAACUACGUGCCAGCAGCCGCGGUAAUACGUAGGGAGCAAGCGUUAUCCGGAAUUAUUGGGUGUAAAGGGUGCGUAGACGGGACAGCAAGUUAGUUGUGAAAGCCCUCGGCUUAACUGAGGAACUGCAACUAAAACUAUUGUUCUUGAGUGCAGGAGAGGAA